UGGUCAAGUUAUUAAGGGUGCAGGGCGGAUGCCUUGGCACUAGGAGCCGAUGAAGGACGUGAUAAGCUGCGAUAAGCUUCGGGGAGUUGCACGUAAACUUUGAUCCGAAGAUUUCCGAAUGAGGAAACUCACUUAGAGUAAUGUCUAAGUAUCAUUAAGUGAAUACAUAGCUUAAUGAGGGGAACUCAGGGAACUGAAACAUCUAAGUACCUGAAGGAAGAGAAAGAAAUUCGAUUCCGUAAGUAGCGGCGAGCGAAAGCGGAUUAGCCCAAACCAAUAAAGUUUUCUUUAUUGGGGUUGCGGACAUAUCAUAACGAAGAGGUAUCGUAAUUGAAGAGGUUUGGAAAGACCCACCACAGAAGGUAAUAGUCCUGUAUGUUAAACGAGAAGACUUUAGAUAUG
RNAcentral lists this ribosomal RNA (402 nucleotides) under Clostridioides difficile. Its description in RNAcentral is "partial 23S ribosomal RNA". It matches the Rfam family "Bacterial large subunit ribosomal RNA", at positions 1 to 403 of the family's 2925-position model. The record is from RNAcentral. Lineage: Bacteria; Bacillati; Bacillota; Clostridia; Peptostreptococcales; Peptostreptococcaceae.